UGAGUAGUGCGGAUAAUCGCGGCUGCAAUUGCCGAAAGGCAGCAGGUGAGGAAAGUCCGGGCUUCGCAGGGCAGGAUGCCAGAUAACGUCUGGUGGAGGUGACUCCAAGGAUAGUGCAACAGAAAUAAACCGCCUGUUUUACAGGUAAGGGUGGAAAGGCAGUGUAAGAGACUACCGCGUUGCCGGUAACGGCAAUGGUCCAUGUAAACCCCAUCCGAAGCAAGUCCAAGAAAAAGCUAUACGGCUGCCCGUCGUGCUUUUAGGUAGGACGCUUGAGUGUAUCGGCGACGAUGCAACUAGAUAGAUGAUUAUCACACAUUUAUAUGUGGACAUAACCCGGCUUAUAGUGCUGCUCAUUAU
This is a non-coding RNA of Eubacterium sp. CAG:86, 360 nucleotides long. It matches the Rfam family "Bacterial RNase P class A". Rfam says of the family: Ribonuclease P (RNase P) is a ubiquitous endoribonuclease, found in archaea, bacteria and eukarya as well as chloroplasts and mitochondria. Its best characterised activity is the generation of mature 5'-ends of tRNAs by cleaving the 5'-leader elements of precursor-tRNAs. Cellular RNase Ps are ribonucleoproteins. Lineage: Bacteria; Bacillati; Bacillota; Clostridia; Eubacteriales; Eubacteriaceae. The record is from Rfam.